Molecule: ribosomal RNA, 442 nt
Filed under: uncultured bacterium
Lineage: Bacteria
Description: partial 16S ribosomal RNA
Rfam family: Bacterial small subunit ribosomal RNA
Source: RNAcentral
CUACGGGGGGCUGCAGUCGAGAAUCUUCCGCAACGGGCGCAAGCCUGACGGAGCAAUGCCGCGUGAGGGAUGACGGCCCUAGGGUUGUAAACCUCUGUCAGAAGGGACGAAGAACGUGACGGUACCUUCAGAGGAAGCCACGGCUAACUCUGUGCCAGCAGCCGCGGUAAUACAGAGGUGGCGAGCGUUGUUCGGAUUUACUGGGCGUAAAGGGUGCGUAGGCGGUUUGGUAAGUCGGAUGUGAAAGCCCAAGGCUCAACUUUGGAACUGCAUCCGAUACUGCUGAACUAGAGUGCAGGAGGGGAGAGCGGAAUUCUUGGUGUAGCGGUGAAAUGCGUUGAUAUCAAGAAGAACACCGGUGGCGAAGGCGGCUCUCUGGAAUGUUACUGACGCUGAGGCACGAAAGCUGGGGGAGCAAACAGGAUUAGAUACCCGAGUAGUC